AAGUAUGAGAGGGGGGAUUUUUUCUUUUGAAAAAAAAUAGCUACCUUUUUUCUCUAACACAUCAGUACCAAGAAGUUCCAAGGGGAUCCGAAAAAUCAUUAUAAAAAAACAGCAGUAUCAUACAACCGAAAAAAAAAGGGAAAUCAGUACCUAAGUAGCUUCAAAGAUAUUGCUAAAAAAAAGGGAGCCCACACAUCUAAACAACAUCGGUUCAUCAUCAUAGAAGAGAAAAAAUAGAGAUAUUGUACCCGAAAUCUGAUCCUUUGAGCUGGGUUGGCCGUCGUUAAGGCUUUAGCCGGCUGUUCCGAUGGAGGGUGAUGGUAAGACCGUUUUUCUUAAACGGUCAUGGCGGACGAAGGUUCUUCGUCGGAGGUAACG
This 378-nucleotide long non-coding RNA is filed under the name Lathyrus oleraceus (garden pea). Its description in RNAcentral is "Pisum sativum (pea) long non-coding RNA (PSAT_LNC028908)". The record is from RNAcentral. Lineage: Eukaryota; Viridiplantae; Streptophyta; Magnoliopsida; Fabales; Fabaceae.